This is a long non-coding RNA of Eriocheir sinensis (Chinese mitten crab), 904 nucleotides long. RefSeq lists it as uncharacterized. Lineage: Eukaryota; Metazoa; Arthropoda; Malacostraca; Decapoda; Varunidae. The record is from RefSeq and is a predicted model, not a curated record. The transcript is spliced from 2 exons.
UGGUAUGUAAAUAAACGGGUAUAUGAGUAAGCAGGUAGUUAGGUAGGUACACAAAUUAACAGGUAAAUCAGGCAAGCAGGAAGGCAAGUACAGGUUAAGGGAGAUAAACGAAGCAACAGAUGUGGGGAGAUAGCUAUUAGAACACAGGUAGAUUAUUACAGGUAGACAAAUUCAGUAUAAAAUAAUAAUAAUAAUAAUAAACAAUAGUAAGCAGGAAGGUAAGAAUAGCGUAAGGGAGGUAAACGGAGCAACAGGUGUGGGUAGAUAGCUAAUUAGAACACAGGUAGAUUAUUACAGGUAGACAAAUACAGUAUCUCCAAGUGGAUGUUUUUAUUCCAAAGUCACGCUGUAUAAAAUGAGAAAAUGACAAAGACAACUGAUUUUCUUAUUUAGGCCUAACACGUGGGGAGGAGGAGGAGGGAGGAAGGGGAGAGGGGAGGAAGGGGGGAAAUGGGGAGAGGAGAAUGCUUGGAAGAGGGAGAAAGAGGAGAGGGGAAAAGGGGAAGAAGGGAAUGACGAAGGAGAUGAGGAGGGGAAAAGGAGGAGGAAGAGAGGAUGGGGAGAGAUGAAGAAGGGGGAGAGUAAGAGAAGAUAAGAACUGAAGGGAAAGAGAGAGGAAGAGGAGGAAGAAGGGGAGAAGAGGGGAAGAAGAGGAGGAGGAAGCAGGAAGAGGAUUGUAGAUGGAAGAGAGGGAGAGGAAAAGGAAAUAACAACUAAAGGGAAAGAAGGAGGAGGAAGGAGGAGGGAGAGGAAGGGGAGGGAAAAAGGAAGAGGAAGAAGGAAAAAAAAGAUUAAAAAACAGAAAAAGAAAAAAAUAGGAAUAUAUUCACUUAAUUUAAACACAUUAUUAUUAUUAUCACACGAGGAGGAGGAGAGAGAGAGGGUGAGGGAGGGAGGAAAGGGA